Molecule: ribosomal RNA, 435 nt
Filed under: uncultured bacterium
Lineage: Bacteria
Description: bacterial SSU rRNA
Rfam family: Bacterial small subunit ribosomal RNA
Source: RNAcentral
UCGAGGAUCUUCGGCAAUGGGCGCAAGCCUGACCGAGCGACGCCGCGUGCGCGAUGAAGGCCUUCGGGUUGUAAAGCGCUGUCGAGGGGGAGGAAAGCCCGCAAGGGUCUGACCUAUCCCUGGAGGAAGCACGGGCUAAGUUCGUGCCAGCAGCCGCGGUAAGACGAACCGUGCAAACGUUGUUCGGAAUCACUGGGCUUAAAGGGCGCGUAGGCGGCUUGCCAAGUCAGGGGUGAAAUCUUUCGGCUUAACCGGAAAAGUGCCUUUGAUACUGGCGAGCUAGAGGGAGGUAGGGGCAUGUGGAACUUCCGGUGGAGCGGUGAAAUGCGUUGAUAUCGGAAGGAACGCCGGUGGCGAAAGCGACGUGCUGGACCUCUUCUGACGCUGAGGCGCGAAAGCUAGGGGAGCGAACGGGAUUAGAUACCCCCGUAGUCC